UUUUUCUUUCAGUUUUAUCUCGUUUUAGUUUUAUCUCGUUUCAGUUUAUUUCGUUUUCAGUUUUCUUCUUUUUCAGUUUAUUUUUGUUUCAGUUUAUUUUAUUGGUCUUGAUAAGGAAAAUAGGUAAGUUCUCAAUUCCCUGUGGAUUCGAUCCUUUCACCACUAUCUGUAGUUGUAAAUUGUUGAUAACCAGAAAGGUUAUUUUUGACCGGCUUUGACAACCGCGAGUCAGAUGCUCAUCAAUUUGCUGAAAAACCCCGAUUCUCACAUAAAAUCAGAACUAGCAGACCCAGUGGAAGAUGUCCAAUUAAGUAUAGAGAAAAAGGUACGGUUUGAGACCGCGUUAAAUGGUGAAAUAAAAAAUCAUUUAGUAGAAUUAUUAAAAGGUAGAGUGAGCACUUUUGCUUGGUCUCUAGA
RNAcentral lists this long non-coding RNA (417 nucleotides) under Manihot esculenta (cassava). RNAcentral's name for it is "long non-coding RNA (MESC_LNC004507)". Lineage: Eukaryota; Viridiplantae; Streptophyta; Magnoliopsida; Malpighiales; Euphorbiaceae. The record is from RNAcentral.